CUAGCAUUUAUAUAGUGAUGUAGGGUUGGGGAAGCACCAGGUAGAAGUUAAGAGAGGGUCACACAAAUAUUGACUUCAUCUCCUGUACAAUCUAGCUGCCUCCAAUAUAAAUAGAUACAGACCAAAGAAAACUGAACCCAAAGUGUAACAAUGACAAUAAUGUUACUAAGGAUAAUACUAGAGGCAACAAAGUGGCACAGCAGAAACUAUGCUUGAUUUGGAGUCAAGAGCAGGCUUCCAAUCCCAGCCCAGCAACUCUCUUAACUCUUUACAAUUUCCGGGCAAUUUCUGUGUCCAUAGGGGUCAAGGGGUGACCCACGGUUGGUGAAGUCCCUGCCGACUUUAGACUUGGGAUGCUGUGGUUCUGAGUCACUUAACCCCAUCUUCUCUCUAAAUGAGGGGGCCUCUGAGUUCCCUUCUGCCCAUCUUUAUGAUCCUAAAAAUACGAUGGACAAUGCCGGCUCUCAAUGGCUGGAGGUCAAACCCACGUGUUUCUAUGCACAAAUAGCUAAGUACAAAAACAUCGCCGGAAAGGGGAUAGUUCCAUGCUAUCAGGUAUUGCUACAAUGAGAUUUAGGUGCUUUUAUUGAACCUUUUACCGGGGAUUACCAUGGGGGUGUGGAUGGGCCAGUAAUUGACCUGUCCAGAGCAUUAUAUCCAGGAAAACCUGCUUUACUUGUGUGAGCGGAUGGGUGAGAAUCCUCUGGCUGGACCCUAGUCCAGCUGCAUGCGUGCUCUUUGGAAGGUGGAAGCAGAGAGUUAAGAGAAGUCGGCUCAGAGAAGGGGGCGGGGCCUUAGGAGGGGCGGCCUUGGGGACAGUCCUUGCAGCGGCCCCGCCCCCUGCUCAGAGGCCUGUGCAGCCGCCGGGUGCCCGGCAGGGGGCGGCCGCUCCUCCCGGGCCCCUGGCCUCGCUGCUCGCCUCCCGCCCCUCCUCCCCGUCCUGCCGCUGCGGCCCCGCCUCCCGGCCCGGCCGGCCCCGCGCCCGUCACUCACCCUGCCUUGCACACUCACUCACACUCACUCUCGCCUCUCACGCUCGCCCUCGCCCUCCGCCCCCGCCCCCACCCCUGCCGACGCCGCCCCCCCAGCCCGGAGCCCGCGGACCCGCCGCUACCGCUCUCGAGCCUCGCCCGGGACCCGCCGCCGCCGCUGCCGCUACGCGAGGCCGGGGAUCGGGAGGGACCCACAGGCCGCGCCCCCGACCCCGGCCUGGCCUGGCCUGGCCCGGCCCAGGCUCCGACCCCGCCGCAGAGGAGGAGGAGAACUAGGAGGAGCCGGAAUAAAGGGCGGCGAGAGUAGAACGAAGGGGAGAGCGACCCCCCUCCCCGGACCCCUGGCGGGGAGCAGAACUGUUCAUCCUAAGAGCCUACCGCUCUGUGCUCACCCUGGCUGGCGGUCACACCACUGAUUGGGGAAUCUCUGCCAAUCAGCUACAGGCCAACCCCCAGUGAUUUCACAGCCAUUUGGUCAAUGACGUGGGAACUGGUUUAAUAAAGAGCUUCUUGCUGUGCCUCUAAGGUGCUAG
RNAcentral lists this long non-coding RNA (1525 nucleotides) under Monodelphis domestica (gray short-tailed opossum). Its description in RNAcentral is "lncRNA (ENSMODG00000047218.1)". The record is from RNAcentral. Lineage: Eukaryota; Metazoa; Chordata; Mammalia; Didelphimorphia; Didelphidae.